RNAcentral lists this ribosomal RNA (447 nucleotides) under uncultured Oscillospira sp. RNAcentral describes it as "bacterial SSU rRNA". It matches the Rfam family "Bacterial small subunit ribosomal RNA", at positions 335 to 797 of the family's 1533-position model. Lineage: Bacteria; Bacillati; Bacillota; Clostridia; Eubacteriales; Oscillospiraceae. The record is from RNAcentral.
AGCCUACGGGGGGCUGCAGUGGGGAAUAUUGGGCAAUGGGCGCAAGCCUGACCCAGCAACGCCGCGUGAAGGAAGAAGGCUUUCGGGUUGUAAACUUCUUUUCUCAGGGACGAAGAAAGUGACGGUACCUGAGGAAUAAGCCACGGCUAACUACGUGCCAGCAGCCGCGGUAAUACGUAGGUGGCAAGCGUUAUCCGGAUUUACUGGGUGUAAAGGGCGUGUAGGCGGGACUGCAAGUCAGAUGUGAAAACCACGGGCUCAACCUGUGGCCUGCAUUUGAAACUGUAGUUCUUGAGUACUGGAGAGGCAGACGGAAUUCCUAGUGUAGCGGUGAAAUGCGUAGAUAUUAGGAGGAACACCAGUGGCGAAGGCGGUCUGCUGGACAGCAACUGACGCUGAGGCGCGAAAGCGUGGGGAGCAAACAGGAUUAGAUACCCGUGUAGUCGU